CAGGUUGCCAGGGCUGCCCCGUGGAACCCGGAGGCCACAAGAUUCUGCCGGGUGAGCCAGAGACUCCCCGGAGAGCCAUCCCCUCCGUCCUUGACAGCUGGGCCGCUUCUCUGCCGUUCUCAGCCCCGGCACUGUUCCCGCACAGCCGAUCCUAAACACACGGAGGCCACUCCCGCACUGCCACUGAGAAAAAGCCGAGGCUGGGUAGCCGCGGAGGGGCCAAAGGGCCGGAGUUUGAGGUCGAGGUGUCAGCAGGCUCUGACCCAGUCACCCUGCCGCGCUGCCCUGGGCCAACUGUUUUCGUCCCCAACAUUCACAUGUAGAACCCUUCACUCCCACCGUGACAGCUGAGGAGGGCGACGCUGCCUGGGAAGCAGGAGCUGUUCUCCCCAGACACCGAAUCUGCCUUUCCGUGGCCUGCAGCCUCCGGAACUGAGAGGAGUGAGCGUGUGUGGCGCUUCUGCUCACGCGACUGGGAUGCACUGAGACCAGGCCUGGGGAAAGCCGGUCCUCCGGGUUCCGGAGAGAGUGGGGCCAGGUGGGGAGAGGGCUUUGUCCGCACCUCUCUCCGGGGGUUUUGCUGUAUCUGCUCCACCCUCAAAAACUCAAGUCAAACGCAUACUCCUAGACCUUCUCUCGGGGACCCUGAGGGAAAAAGACUGGAAUGGAACAGUGUCGGUAGAGUCACAGAAACGCCCGCAAUGCAGGAAAAGCCCCAGAAGCUCCUUCAGCUGGCCUUGGGCGUCCUCUGGCCUCCCAGGGGCUGGGGCUGAGCUAAGGGGAGGCUCAUUUGUUGCAGAAAUGGCACAGAGGGGUCUUGGGCACCGGGAAGGGGCCAAAAGAACUGUGUCUACGGCUCAGGGGAAGCAGGAGUGUGGAGUCCAGGGUCUGGCGCAGCAGCUCCCAGGUCACCCCCACUGAUGAAGGCAGGAUUUAAGCGCAUGGUGUAGGAGGGCUGCAUGGGCGCCAGUGCUAGGGGUGUCGGAGGGUCACGUGGGCACCAGCGUUAAGGGUGUGGAAGGGCCACGUGGGUGCUGGUGUUACGGCUGUGUGGGUGCCAGUGUCAGGGGUGUGAGGGCCAUGUGGGGGCCUGGGCUAGGGGCAUCAGAGGGCCACGUGGGUGUCAGCUCUUCGGGUUUGGGAGGGUUGCAUGGUGCCAGGUCUCGGGGUGUGGGGAGUCCGCAUGGGUGCCAGCACUGGGGACCCCUCUCACUUCAGAAGGACUCUCAACUCCUGCCUGCUGCCAAGCCUGCUCCCUGGGGAGGGUCUGGAAACCAUCCUCGAACUUGUCCCCCGUCUCCCCAGCUUUAGCGUCCCGACUCUUCCUCUGCCCUCCUCACCCCCAAGUCCUGGAAUGCCAGGCUGUUGCGCAGACGCCCCUCACAGCGCAGAGCCCGGCUCUGCCUGUGCAGAAACGCAACCCGUGCCAAGAAAACAUGCAGCGAUGAGAGACGUCAGGUUCCCGAAUUCCUGAAGGAUGAUGCCUCUAUCCAGCUCCGAAGGUUUCAAAGCGGGCUGGCCGUGUUUUCUCACACAGGUCUGGUAUGCGCAGCGCAGGAAUUUGGGAUCACAGUGACCGCUGGGCCUGACCUGCACCUCAGCAGCACAAACAGCCACAGACGCCUGUAGUUAGCACCCUCUGCGGUCUGAAGCCUCCUGCCCAUGGGAGGAACCCCGCCCAGAGCACAAACAGCUCGUUAAAGAGAGUGUUUGCGGCCACCUGGAGGGUCGCAAGGCCUUUAGCCUCCCCCAGACCCCCACGCUGCGUCCUCCCAGGCACGGCAUGCACAGGGCCUGACUCACUCCUCUGUCCCCUCGCACUUGGACACUUCUUCACUACGUCAGCUAAGCAACAAAGCCACCAGGAUUAGAAUCCCUCCCUCACAUGCCCUCAGGGUAGGAGGGCGGCUCUGCCCCAUCCCAGCUCUCAACGGUGGGAGAAGAUGCUCCUGGGGAGUGGGCAGUGUCUCCAGCAGGGUCAGCUGUGAGCUGUGUGCAGACGUGGCGCAGUGUGUGUGCCGGGAUGUGGCGUGUCCCCUGGCCGUGUCUACCGCCCAGUGUCUGAGCCCAGGCCUCCAUCCUGCAAGUGUUGCCCACACAGUCGUCAGCCUGUGACUUCACAUCAUGCCAGAAAAGUGCUAAGCCCAGCAUGAGCCAGCAGCACGCCCUCUGUGAAGGCACCAGGAGUAGAAGGGAGUGACUCAACGCUGUCAGUCCUGAAAAAACCCCCCCACGGUGGGAGUGCUAUUUUAAAACAAUUUUUUUUUCAAAUUCCAGCAUUCAGAAUACUUCCCAGUGCACUUUGGGUGAAAGACAAGCAGUAAGGCUACCCUUCCGUGCAGUUGGUGAUGGGUUACGGAGCCUCGGUCUUCGGAGUGGCACUGUGAGGCCAUUUGCUUCCAGCCAUGGGCACUGCCACCCCUGGAUCUUGGCCAGGGACAUCGGGUUCCUCUGCUCCCUGAGCCCACAGAGCUGUGAGUAUCUGGAACCCUCACUCCUUCCUGACGGCUCUGCUUGGAGCACACAGCUGGGUGUGCUGGGCACAGGGCGGGGCUGACGUCUGCAUCCAUCUGGCAAUGCAGGGAGCACCUGCCUCAGCAGAGUCUGUGUGGGCCCUUAUCCCAUCCCAGACUGCAUCCUGCAGAGUGAGAAGCAAAGUUGGCGUGAGCCUCUGCACGCAGCGUGAACCCGUGAGACCCACCAGAGAGGCUACUCGGGGAGGCCAGUGCUGCGGCGGUGGGAGAGCCCCCAUGUGGAAGCCUCUCCCCACAGGUGGGAGAGCCCCGGACUGGAAGCCUCUCCCUGCAGGUGGGAGAGCCCUGGACUGGAAGCCUCUCCCUGCAGAGGCCGAUGCCCCGCAAGGAUCUCACCACAAAGCUCCUCCUCAGCAUGCCUUGGCCUUGGGGUUUGACGCUAAAACAGGGCGGGGAUGCGGGGGUGAUUGCAGAGGCAGAAACGGGUUGGAAAUCACACCCUGCUCAGUCCAAAGCUCAAGAAGAUGGUGAAAUUAACACCUAAAGCCCUGGUGGCUGGCAGCACCCUCCUGGUGGGGCUCUGAUGGCACCCUCCUGGUGGGGGUCUCAUGGUACCCUCCUGGUUGGGGUCUGACGGCACCUUCCCAGUGGGGCUCUGAUGGCACCCUCCUGGUGGGGCUCUGACGGCACUCUCCUGGUGGGGCUCUGAUGGUACCCUCCCGGUGGGGGUCUUAUGGUACCCUCCUGGUUGGGGUCUGACGGCACCUUCCCGGUGGGGCUCUGAUGGCACCCUCCCGGUGGGGCUCUGAUGGCACUCUCCUGGUGGGGCUCUGAUGGCACUCUCCUGGUGGGGCUCUGACGGCACCCUCCUGGUGAGUGGACCAGAAAAAGGAGGGCUGAGGAGGUUCCUGGGAAUGCUCAGCUGGCUUGCAGUGGGCGUUGAGCCAGUGGCGUCAGGGAGGGAAAGGGAGCAGGCUGAACCCUUGGCCCUGUGGCCACCACACAGCCACGUGGAAAGGACUCGAGAGCUCCUCAAUGCCACAUGGUGCCCUGCCACACUCUUUCUGUUUUCUCUGUUUUAGAAGCUGGUGAUGAGAACAGCCCAAUGCUGAGGUUGCCUUCGUGGCCGCUAUUCGUCUAUUCCCGCUGUGCUGUGAAAGAAGGCCUGAGACGGGGUAAUUUAUCAAGAAAAGAGGUGAAUUGGCUCAGGGUCUGCUGGCUGUACAGGAACCACAGCAGCUGCUGCUUCUGGGGAGGCCUCAGGAAGCUUCCUUCUGGCAGUUCAGUAGCACCUCUGAGAACUGCUGUGUACCGAGUAGCCUGCUCCAAGGUUCCUACUGAUGGGCGUGCACAUGGACACUCCCCAGAAGACAGGGGAUGGACAGGAGCACAGAGGGGAUGAGGAGGAAAGUGGACAGAGGGGCCAUCCGGAUGCAGAAACUGAUGGCACUGGAUGCUUUUCCUGAAGUUAUGUUUUUAUCUACUUUCGACACUGGUGUUUUGACAGCAUAUAAUUUAUUCUCCAAUCAGAGACACACUGACAGCCUAGAGGGUGGAGCAAGACAGCAGCAUAGGUGUGUCUAGUGAUCGUCCCUUCACAAGAACACCGAUUUGAGCAUGCAAAUGAAAAUACUGUCAGGAGAGCUAAGUGAAGCAGACGCGGGACCACACUACCGCGUUGUAGCACAAUAACAAGAAAAGAUGUGAAGGUCUCUUUUCUAUUAUACACUUCGCCCCUCCCUCAGCCCGGGCAGCACAGCGUGGAGAAAUUGUCUGCUCAGGGAAAACCGGGGAGUGAGCAAAGAUAUCCAAACACUGGGCCCACCGCAGUAAAACCCAGCACUGGGUAAGUCUCCAUGGCCCCAGAGUCCAGGCUGGAACCUAAAGACUGAGCCUCCAGACCUGCUGCAGUGCCAGGCUGGACCACAUUGCCUCAGGCUUCUGGCUUGUGUGGCAAACUUGACCUCAGGCCCACACAACUCCUUGAUCAAUGUCAGCAGCCCUGGACUCCAGACAGUCGUCACCAGUAGGCAGGACCCAGUGGCCCCCAGCUUCAGGUAGGCCCCAGCACAGUGCCAGUGGGUCCCAGGCUUCUGGCCUGCCCCGGCAGCACUCCAGCCAGAGUGAGCCCUGAGCUUCCGGCACACCCAAGCAAUGCACCAGCUGCAGCAGCUCCAGACUUCUGGCAUCCCCAGCGCCAUGCAUGCUGGUAGCAGCCCCAGGCUUCAGAACUAUGCCAGAAAGCCUGCUCAGAAUCUCUAGACAGGCUGACUUCUUUUUUUACAGAGGAUCUUGCUCUGGCUCUGUCACCCAGGCUGGCAUGCAGGGUUAUGGUCAUGGUUCACUGCAGCCUGCACCUCCAGGGCUCAAGCAAUCCUCCCAUCUCAGCCUCCCAAGAGGCUAAGAAUACAGGCACACGCCAAGACACCCAGCUAAUUUUGUUUAUUUUUUGUACAGACAGGAUCUCACUAUGUUGCCCAAUUUGGUCUCAAACUCCUGGGCUCAAGCCAUCCUCCCACCUCAGCUUCCCAGAGUGGUGGAAUUACAGGAAUGAGCCACUGUGCCUGGCCCAGGCUAUUGAAGGGCUUUCCCAGGCAAACCAAGUCUGAGAAGACUGGAAUAAAUACUUACAUCUGCAAAUGUGCAGACAUCAACGCAUGGCCCACAAGGAUUAAGAACAAUCAGGGAAGCAUGACGUCACCAAUGCAACAAAAUAAAGUGUUACUGACCAACCUUAAAGAAAUGGAGAUAAUUGAGCUUCCUGAAAAAGAAUUUAAAAUAACUUUUAAAGAAGCUUAGUGAAAUUCAAGAAAAUGCAGAGAAACAAUUCAAUGAAUUGAGGAAAACAAUAACUGGCCAGAUGAGAAAUUUAAUACACAGAUUGUGAAAUAAUUUUAAAAAAUAAAUAAAACAGAAAUCCUGGGGCUGAAGAAUCAAAAUACAAUGAACAAAAUGAUAAAAUUAAUAGAGAGUAUCAACAGUAAAACUGAUCAAGCAGAAGAAUGUGUGAACUUAAAGAAAAGUUUUUUGAAAAUAUAUAGUCAGAGGGAAAAAAUGAACAAAGCUUAUGGGAUUUAUGAAACAGCAUAAAAAAAGCAAAUAGUUGAGUCAUAGGAAUUAAAGAAGAAGAGAAAGAUAAAGACGUAGAAAGUGUAUUUAAAGAAAGAGAAAAAAAGGAAGAGUAGCAGAAACUUUUCAAACCUGAAAAUACAUAGAAGUAUCCAGGUUCAGAAAGGUCAAAGGUCACCAAUCCAAAUAAGAUUUAAUCCGAAUAAGACUAUCCCAGACACAUAUUCACACUGUCAAAAAAACAGAGACAUAGAGAAGAUCCCGGAAGCAGCAAAAGCGAAAAAGCCAGUAACAUAUAAGGGAGUUCCCAGACAGCAGGCAGCAGAGCUCUCAGCAGAAACUUUACUGGAGACAGUGGGAUGAUAUAUUCCAACUGUUCAAGAAACAACAACAAAAUGGCAGCCAAGAAUACUGCACCCAGCAAAGCUGUUACAUCACUAAUGAAGGAAAGAUAUUUUCUCAGACAAAAGCUGAGAGAGUUCAUCACCACCAGAGCCGUCUUACAAGAAAUGCUAAAGGGAGUUCUUCAAGUAUAAAUUUAUUGGUAAAAGUAAGUACAUAGUCAAAUUUAGAAUACUCUAUCACUAUAGUGGUGGUUUGUAAGUUACUUAUAUAUUUACCAUGAAGGUUAAAAGACAAAGUUAUUAAAAAUAACUAUAGCUGCAAGAAAUUGUUAAGAGAUAUGCAAUAUAAGAAAACGUACAUUGUGAAAUCAAAAAAUUUAAAAUUUUGGUGAAAGGAAUAGAGUAAAAGCAUAGUUUUUUUGGUGGGGGGAUGGACUAUGAUCAAAGAUAAGUUGUUAUCAGCUUAAAAUAACCUGUUAUAAGAGUAAGACUUGUGGUAACCAAGAAACAAAAACCUAUAGUAGAUACAUAAAAAAAAUGUAAAACAAGGAAUCAAACAUGCCUUUAACGAAAACUAUUUAAUCACAAAGGAAGAUAGUAAGAUGGGAAGAAUGGAACAAAAGAUCAACAAAACAACUAUCAAUAGAAAGUAUAGGUUGGUUCAAAAGCAACCAUGAUUACUUUUGCAGAAAACUAACGGUUAAUAAAACAGAAAUAGGUAGGUUCUUACUUAUCAAUAAUUACCUUGAAUGUAAGUUCAUCAUAUUCUUCAAACAAAAAACAUAGACUGACCAAAUGAAUUAAAGGAACAAGACCCAACUUCCUGCUUCCUGCAAGAGAUUCCCCUUCACCAGGAAGGACACACAUAUGCUGAAAGUGAAGGGGUAGGUAAAGACAAUCCAUGCAAAUAGAAUUCGAACUAGGAAUAGUUAUACUUGUAUCAGACAAAACAGACUUUAAAAAACUGUGAAAAGAAAAGGACAAGGGCCAAUAAUAACAAAAGAAAAAAUUCAACAAGAGGAGUGAUAAUGAUUAUUAAUAUUUCAUAUAAUAUUUGCUUUAUAUAUUUAGAUAUGGGAAUUGGAGUAUAUAAAUUUAUGAAGCAAAUAUUAACAGCUCCAAAGGGAGAUGUAGAGUGUAAUACAUCCAUAGUGGGUAACAUCAAUAUGCCACUUUCAACAUUGGACAGAUCAGCUAUACAGAAAAGUAAGUAAGGAAGCAUUAAACUUAAACUACACUCUAGACCAAACGGACAUAACAGACACAUUUAGAAUAUUCCAUCUGGCAGCUGCAGAAUACUCAUUUUUCUCAACUGCACAUGGAAUAGUCUCCAGAAUAAUUAUGUGCUAGGCUACAAAACAUCUUCACAAAUUUAAGAAGAUUAAAAGUAACUUUUCUGACCACAAUGGUAUAAAACUAGAAAUCGCUUACAUAAAAACUUUGGAAAAUUCACAAAUACAUGCAAGUUAAAUAUGCUUUUGAACAAUAAAUGGAGCCAUGAAGAAAUUAAAAGAGAAAUUUAAAAUUCUGUUGAGACAAACAAAAGUGAAAAUAUGACAUACCAAAACCUAUGCGAUAUAUAAAAAACAGUUCUAGAAGGUUUAUAGCAAUAAACACCUACAUGAAAAAGAUAAAGAUAUGAAGUAGACAACCCAACAUUGUACUUCAAAGCAUCAGAAAAACAAGAAUAGACUAACCCCAAAGUUAGUAAAGGGAAGAAAAUAAUAAAGGUCACAGCAGGAAUAAAUGAAAUAGAAACUAAAAAAAAUAGAAAAGAGCAACAAAAAUGAGAUCUGUGCCUUUAAAAAUUAAACGAAUUCUACUAACCUUUAGUCAAACUAAGAGAAAAAGAAAAUAUGCAAAUGAAUAAAAUCACAGAUAAAAACAGAGAGACAUUUCAAUUGAUAAAACAGAAAUACAAAAAAUCUUAAGGGACUAUUAUGAGCAGUUAUAUGCCAACGAAUUGAACAACCUAAAAGAAAUAAAUAAAUCCCUUGACACAUAUAACUUAUCAAAAUUGAAUCAUAAAGAAAUAAAAAAUCCGAACAGACUAAUAAGUGAUGAGAUCAAAAGUGUAAUUAAAAGUCUCUCAGCAAAGAAAAGGCAAGAACUAUAUGGCUUCACCGUUGAAUUCUAUCAAACAUAAAGAAAAACGAAUGGCAAUUAUUCUUAAACGCUUUCAAAGCAUUGAAGAGAAUAGAACCCUUCUCAACUCACUUUGCAAGACCAGCAUUACACUGAUACCAAAGCUGAACAAGCAGAGCACACACACACACACACACACACAGGCAUGCACACACAAAGAAAACAGCAAGCCAAUAUCCCUGAUGAUGGUAGAUGCAAAACUCCUCCACAAAAUGCUAGCAAACCAAAUUUAACAAUACAUUAAAAAGACCAUUCGCCAUGAUAAUGUGGAAUUCAUCUCAGGAAUGCAAGGAUGAUUCCGCAUACAUAAAUCAAUAAAUGUGAUACAUCACAUGAACAUAUUUCAGGAUAAAAACCAUAUAAUCAUUUCAACAGAUGCAGAAAAAGCCUUUGAUAAAAUGUGAAACCCUUCAUAAUAAAAACCCUCAACAAAAUAGAUAUAGAAGGAAAGUACCUAGACAUAAUAAAGGCCAUGUAUGACACACCCCAGCUUAUAUUAUAUUGAACAAAAGCUUUCAACUUUUCCUCUAAGAUCUAGAACAAGACAAGGAUGCCCCUUGCCACUUCUACUCAAUGUAGUAUUGGAAGUCCUAGCCAAAGCAAUUAGGCAAAAGAAAGAAUUAAAAAGUCUUCCAAAUUUGAAAGGAGCAAGUUAAAUUGUCCCUGUUUGCAGUUGACAUGAUCUUAUAUAUACAAAACCUUAAGGACUAUUUACAAACUGUUAGAACUAAUAAAUUCAGGACAGUUGCAAGAUACAAAAUGAACAUACAAAAAUCAGUAGUGUUUCUAUACAUUAACAGUGAGCUAUCCAAAAAAGAAAUUAAGAAAACAAUCCCAUUUACAAUAGCUACCAAAAAACAAAAUAGAAAUAAAAGUCACCCAAGAGUGAAAGAUCUCUACAUUGAAAACUGUAGAAUUCUGAUGAAAGAAAUUGCAGUAGUCACCAACAGAUGAAAAGGCAUUCUGAUUUCAUGGAUUGGAAGAAUUCGUACUAAUAAAAUGUCCACGUUACCCAAAGUGAUCUACAGAUUCAAUGCCAUCUGUCAAAAAAACAAUACCAAUUCCAUUCUUCACAGAAAUAGAAAAUAUAUCCUAAAAUGUGUAUAGAGCUACAGAAGACCUCCAACAAAGUCAUCUUGAGCAACAACAACAAAGCAGGAAGCAUCAUGCUAGCCGACUUCAAAAUAUACUAAAACUACAGUAAACAAAGCAGCAUUAUACUGACAUAAAAACAGAUACAUAGACCAAUGGAACAGAAAUAAGAAGAUCAUUCGCCAUGAUAAUGUGGAAUUCAUCUCAGGAAUGCAAGGAUGGUUCCACAUACAUAAAUCAAUAAAUGUGAUACAUCACAUGAACACAUUUGCAGCCAACUAAUUUACAACAAGGGUGCUAAGAACAUGCAGUGGGGAAAGGAUAGUCUUUAAUAAAUAGCACUGGGAAGACUGGAUAUUCACGUGCAGAAUGACACUGGACCCCUAACUCACACCAUAUACAAAAAUCAAUCCUGAACGUAUUCAAGACUUCAGUGUAAGACUCAAAACUAUUCAACUACCAUAAAAAAAAAAACAAAGGGAAAAGCACCAUGUCAUUGGUCUGGGCAAUAAUUUUUUUUUUGAUAUAUCCUCAAAAGCACAGACAACAAAAGCAAAAAUAGACAAAUGGGAUUACAUGAAACUAAAAGCUUCUUCACAUCAAGGAAACAAUCAACAGAGUGAAGAGACAACCCACAGAAUGGGAGAAAAUAUUUGCAAAGCACAUAUCUGAUAAGUGAUUACUACCCAAAAUACAUGUGAUGCUUAAUGACAGGAAUAUGUUCUGAGAUUGUCACUAUGAGAUUUAAUUGUGUGACUCUAGUUAGUUGUACUAGCUCACCACACACCUAGGCUAUCCAGUAGCCUGUUGCUCCAAGGCUACAAACCUGUCCAACAUGUUACUAUACUGAAUACUGGAGGCAACUGUAACACGUUAGGUGUUUGUGUAUCUAAACAGAGCAAAGGUAGAGUAAAAAUAUGGCCUUACGAUCUUACGGACCACUGUUAUCUAUGUGCUCCAUGAUUGUCCAAAAUGUUGUAGUGCUGUGCAUGAGGGUGUAUAAAGAACUCAAACAAGUCAGCAGCAAGAAAACAACACUUCCUAUAAACGGACAAAGCAUCUGAGUAGACAUUUCUCAAAAGAAGACAUACAAAUGUCCAAUAGGUUUAUGGAGAAACGCUCACCACUAAUCAUCAGGAAAACACAAAUUUAAACCACAAUGAGGUAUCGCCUCACACCUGUUAAGAUGGCUGUUAUCAAAAAGACAAAAGAUUUAACAAGUGUUGGCAAGGAUGUGGAGAAAAGAGAGCCCUCAUACACUGUUGGCAGAAGCGUAAAUACUACAAUCAUUACGGAAAACAGCAUGGAAGGGCGCGGGGAGAGAGGAGGGAAAG
Molecule: non-coding RNA, 10458 nt
Organism: Callithrix jacchus (white-tufted-ear marmoset)
Lineage: Eukaryota; Metazoa; Chordata; Mammalia; Primates; Cebidae
Source: RefSeq, a predicted model, not a curated record